This 286-nucleotide unclassified non-coding RNA is filed under the name Melitaea cinxia (Glanville fritillary). Its description in RNAcentral is "misc RNA ENSMCXG00005001985.1". Lineage: Eukaryota; Metazoa; Arthropoda; Insecta; Lepidoptera; Nymphalidae. The record is from RNAcentral.
UCAAAACACUAACUUUUUGACAAUUGACAUUUGACACAAUAUUAAAUUAAGUUUAUGAAAAAAGAGAAACAACUGAUUAUAAGUACAGAAUCAAAUGAAAAAGUUAUAAUUUAGUUUGAAGCUACCCUGCAAACUUUUAGCGAAUUGUGUCAUCAGCUGUUUGAGUUCCGACUGCGAAGUUACCUUAGCUCGGGACUUAUCUGGGAGAAGAAUGAUCACGACACCGUCUGCAGACCAGCAUUUCCUCAUUCCAAAGUGACUACGAGCAGCAGUGAAUAGAUCUUGU